Molecule: long non-coding RNA, 630 nt
Filed under: Mytilus galloprovincialis (Mediterranean mussel)
Lineage: Eukaryota; Metazoa; Mollusca; Bivalvia; Mytilida; Mytilidae
Source: RNAcentral
AGUUGAUUGUGUAUGACAAAAUGUCAUAAAUGCCUGAUUAGGGUGUUACAAGGGCAUGACUGGGGUGUUAGAACAGUUAGAUGGAGACAUAAUAAAUGAAGGUGUGAUAGAUACAAUAGAACAAUUAUUACAAAGAUAUGAUGUCUGUAUGUAUUAUAUAGUUGAUUGUGUAUGACUAGGAUGUCACAACUGCCAGACUAGGGUGUUUCAAGGGCAAGACUGGGGUGUUAGAUGAAGACAUUAUCAAUGAAGGUGUGAUAGAUACAAUAGAACAAUUAUUACAAAGAUAUGAUGUCUGUAUGUAUUGUUUAGUUGAUUGUGUAUGACUAGACUGUCACAAAUGCCUGACUAGGGUGUUACAAGGGCAUGAUAUGGGUGUUAGAUAGGACAUUAUAUAUAAAGGUGUGAUAGAUACAAUAGAGCAUUUAUUAUAAAGAUAUGAUGUCUGUACGUAUUAUAAAGUUGAUUGUGUAUGACUAGGAUGUCACAAAUGCCAGACUAGGGUGUUACAAGGGCUUGACUGGGGUGUUAGAUGAAGAAAUUAAAAAUGAAGGUGUGAUAGAUACAAUAGAACAAUUAUUACAAAGAUAUGAUGUCUGUACGUAUUAUAUAGUUGAUUGUGUAUGACUA